CAUCGGUAUUGUGAGAAAUAUCGAUGGUUAAGCUAUCGGUAUAUUUUUUCCGAUGGCUUUUCGGUAAAUGUUAUAUUUUGAAAGAAAAAUUAAUUUUUUUCCUGAUGCGUUAAAGCCAUCGGUAUAAAAUAAAUACCGAUGGCUUUUGGCUAUCGGAAUUUACCAAUGGCUUAAAGCCAUGUAUUUAUAAAUAAAUAAAUAAAUAAAUAAAUAAAUAAAAAACGAAAUCUUGGUUUAAAGUUAACCCUAGCUCAUGCCUUACUCUUUCUCACUCUUCCACUCAUGCCUCUCUUCCCAUUUUCUCUCUCCUCCAUCUCUCUCCAAUCACGCCUUUUCUCUCUCCUCCGUUUCUCUCCUCUAACGCCAUCUCUCUUACUCCCUCUCUGGUAUUCUCCUUCCUCUCCAUCCAUUUUUUCUCUCUCCCCUCGAUUUCUUUAUCUCUCCUUUUGAUUGUUGCGGUAUUGUGGCGUUGUCCAUUGCGGUGUUGCGGCGGUGUUGUAGUGGUGUUCGGUUUUUUUGGUCAAAUUCGACCAUAAAUUUGGAGUUUUAUGGUCGAAUUUGACCAUUUAAACCUUAAGUAUGUGACAAAUUGAAGAUAUCAUGGACGGAGCAGAUAGGACACCCGAACCUGUUGACCCUUUUGUCUUGACACUACAGGACAAACAUUGGAGCGUUGACAUAUGGGACCAGACGGUUGAUGAAGCGAAGAUGCUGGUUUGCAGGCACUACACUACUAGGGUUAUGGGUGACUGGGUUGUCGAUGCACGCAUUCUUGCGUACGUCGAGUACGCUGGCUUUGGUGGUAUUCAUCGUAUAGCGUUCAGAGAGAUCGAUCGAGCGCUUGUCACUGCGCUAGUGGAGAGAUGGAGACAGGAGACGCACUCCUUCCACCUACUUGUUGAGGAGGCAACCGUUACGUUGCGGGACGUCGCAAUACUCACCCGCCUUCCUAUACAUGGGACUGCGGUGACAGGACAUGCGUUAGUCGAUCCCGUUGGUUUGGUAGCCCGGGUUCUCGGGAUUCAACCGGGUCCCGAUGAGAUUAGGGGCUCCAGGUUGAGGACCGGCUGGAUACGCGAUACUUUCCAUGCGCUGCCUACGGACGCUGAUGAUGCCACGGUUUAGAGACACGCUCGAGCAUACUUGUUAUUGCUCAUAUCGGGCGUGUUGUUCGGCAACAAGAGCGGGAGCCAUAUCCAGCUUAUUUACCUACAACUGUUAGACCACGACUGGGAUCAUAUCUGUGGAUACAACUGGAGUAGUGCCUGUUUGGCGACGUUGUAUCGCCACCUGUGUAGAGCCUCCCACCGUGGUUCAAUCGAGAUCGGAGGACCUCUGAUUGUGCUUCAGUUAUGGGCUUGGGAGCACAUCCAUGUAGGCAGACCAGGUAGGCCUGUUGUACAUCGUCGGGGACAGUAGGACCGGGACGAGCAGUACCAGGCGUACAUCACUCCACCGCUCCCUACAUCUGAUGAGGCGUACGGUUGUAGGUGGGUGGUCCACAGACUCACACAUGCACAUGCGGCGAGGGGUCUUCCGUACUACCGAGUCGCCCUUGACCGACUCACCGAGGAUCAGAUGACAUGGGAUCCAUAUGUACCUGACUUGGUAGAUGUCAUGCCUGCACAUCUGCUGGAUCAUCAGGCAGAAUGGCGUGCCAAGGUCCCCAUAAUCUGUUUCGAGGUUAUGGAGAGUCACCUACCCGACCGAGUCAUCUUACAGUUUGGACUGCGCCAGUCUAUCCCCCAGCAGUCUGACACUAGUGUACGCCUUCACGGCAUUGACCAUUGGGGAAAGAGGGAGAAAAACUGGGCACUGGAGCAUUGGCGUUUCCUUGAGCUAUGGCAGCGACGGUGGAGUUCGUCGUUGGAGAUGAUCCGAUGCAGGGCGUUAUGGAUCCUCAUGAUCUGUACAUGGUGUGGUACAGGUGUAUUACACGACGCUUCAUCAACCUUAGCUACACACCACCAUCCACACAUUACCAUCCAGCAUAUGACAUCAUCAGUGGAUAUGCGGCGGAUAUGGUGGCGAUGGUUGAUGUAGUAUCAGUUGCCGUUGCAGACCGACCCACCAGAGCCCAGGUGGAGCGGGUGCGAGAUAUGGGCGUGGCUACCUUACAAAGAUAUGGUCACGGCUAUCUCGUCCACCAGCGGGACGGUCAUGAUGGCCACUCCGUCCAUUCACAGUUUGAUCUCGGCCAGAGUAGCAGCGGAGGUGAUCCUACGUCACCCAGAGACGCAGAGGAUUACAUCAUCCACAAUACUACGCCCACCGGUACCCAGGAGGACCCAUUGUCUAGCCAGCAGACUCCCCCACCGCCCUGAGACCCAUUCACCACCAUUACUCAUUACAAGCGGCGUAAUGUCAGAUGAAGGGCCGAUAGACAGGAUAUAGAACCGUUACCCCGAAUAAAUGAGUCGGGAUAGUAUUAUCUGAUUUAUUUGUUGUAGCUGGAUUUUCUAGAAUGUUGUAUAUAACACUUACAUUAUUAAUAUAAUAAAUGUUUUUUGAAUGAAUAUGUGUGUGGUUUGA
Chenopodium quinoa (quinoa) is the source of this 2532-nucleotide long non-coding RNA. RefSeq lists it as uncharacterized. Lineage: Eukaryota; Viridiplantae; Streptophyta; Magnoliopsida; Caryophyllales; Amaranthaceae. The transcript is spliced from 7 exons. The record is from RefSeq and is a predicted model, not a curated record.